RNAcentral lists this ribosomal RNA (468 nucleotides) under uncultured bacterium. RNAcentral describes it as "partial 16S ribosomal RNA". It matches the Rfam family "Bacterial small subunit ribosomal RNA", at positions 28 to 507 of the family's 1533-position model. The record is from RNAcentral.
GACGAACGCUGGCGGCGUGCUUAACACAUGCAAGUCGAACGGAAAGGCCCUGCUUUUGUGGGGUGCUCGAGUGGCGAACGGGUGAGUAACACGUGAGUAACCUGCCCUUGACUUUGGGAUAACUUCAGGAAACUGGGGCUAAUACCGGAUAGGAGCUCCUGCUGCAUGGUGGGGGUUGGAAAGUUUCGGCUGUUGGGGAUGGACUCGCGGCUUAUCAGCUUGUUGGUGGGGUAGUUGCUUACCAAGGCUUUGACGGGUAGCCGGCCUGAGAGGGUGACCGGCCACAUUGGGACUGAGAUACGGCCCAGACUCCUACGGGAGGCAGCAGUGGGGAAUAUUGCACAAUGGGCGGAAGCCUGAUGCAGCAACGCCGCGUGCGGGAUGACGGCCUUCGGGUUGUAAACCGCUUUCGCCUGUGACGAAGCGUGAGUGACGGUAAUGGGUAAAGAAGCACCGGCUAACUACGUG